Molecule: ribosomal RNA, 499 nt
Filed under: uncultured organism
Description: SSU rRNA
Rfam family: Bacterial small subunit ribosomal RNA
Source: RNAcentral
AGUUUGAUCCUGGCUCAGGAUGAACGCUGGCGGCGUGCUUAACACAUGCAAGUCGAGCGAAGCACUUUCACAGAUUUCUUCGGAUUGAAGUGGAUUUGACUGAGCGGCGGACGGGUGAGUAACGCGUGGGGAACCUGCCCCAUACCGGGGGAUAACAGUUAGAAAUGACUGCUAAUACCGCAUAAGCGCACACUGAGGCAUCUCAGAGUGUGAAAAACUCCGGUGGUAUGGGAUGGACCCGCGUUGGAUUAGCCAGUUGGCGGGGUAACGGCCCACCAAAGCGACGAUCCAUAGCCGGCCUGAGAGGGCGACCGGCCACAUUGGGACUGAGACACGGCCCAAACUCCUACGGGAGGCAGCAGUGGGGAAUAUUGCACAAUGGGGGAAACCCUGAUGCAGCGACGCCGCGUGAGUGAAGAAGUAUUUCGGUAUGUAAAGCUCUAUCAGCAGGGAAGAAGACGACGGUACCUGACUAAGAAGCCCCGGCUAACUACGUGCC